This 1301-nucleotide long non-coding RNA is filed under the name Malus domestica (apple). Its description in RNAcentral is "long non-coding RNA (MDOM_LNC000607)". Lineage: Eukaryota; Viridiplantae; Streptophyta; Magnoliopsida; Rosales; Rosaceae. The record is from RNAcentral.
AAUUGCUGAGGAAACGGGUCCCCGACUCAAAACCAUUUCCACCGUAAAAUUUUUUUUGAGAUUUAACCUAGUCCAUUGAUGAAAUCUCUGCAUUAAAACAUAUAGAAGAGUUUGUCUCGUAGACCUUGAUUGCACUCAGACUUUCCCACUCCCUGAAUCUCCUCUCAUCCCUUGUCUCAGACCUCGAUAAGGCGCCCAUCUUCAUACAUCGACUCUCCGUACUUUCUCAUUCUCCCCCUUACCCCUACUCGACUCGACUCCCUGAGACUCAUAGUGACUGAGUCGACCUCGACUGUGUCGACAUCACAUCAGCUAGCUACCAUCACCAUCGUGGCAUUGUCUCCUAACCCUCAUUUGGUCAUUCCAAUCGCGAGUUCUGGCCACCACCACACCAUCCUUACCGUUGAGAACACCAGCAUCAUCCUACAAAUCCCUAGGUAAUUUAUGAAUUAGGGUUUCUGAUUUAGAAAUUUAGGGUUUUUGCAUAAGCUUUUCAAUUGAUUUAGGAAUUAUGUGGGUUUUUGAUUUGGGAAUUUAGGUUUUUUUGGGCUUUGAUUGCAUAAGCUUUUCGAUUCAUUAUAUGGACUGCUGUGAUUUGAUUACUUGCUGAAACUUUUCGAUUGCUUUUGAAUUUUAUGGAUCUGCUUAUAGAUUGUAGAUUUUAAGUUGUUUGGUAUUUAAAUUUGUUACAAUUUUUUUAAGAUAUUGAUUUUUGAAAUAAAAUUGGUAAUUGAAGCUACAAUCUUGAUGCUUGUAAGUGAAAGCAAUAGUGAAGAUUAUUUGAUAUCCAUUAGUGGUUUUGAUUUUCAACCCCGAAUCAGAACUGACUAGAUUAUUGAACAAAGCCAAUAAUGAAAAGUUUGUUGGCUUUCUUUAUGUUUAUGAAAUUUGUUAUACUAAUCAUGUAAUAUAUUUCAUGCAAUUACGGAUUAUGUAAUAUGCUUCCAAUCUCUCAUUUCUAAUGAUCUCAUAUGUUUCUUCCUCAAUUGUAGUUAGAGAGAGGUCACAAGGGAGGGUAUCGUCCUUCUACCAUAAAUAACCAGAAUAUUGGAAGUCAUUUCGGAUGUUAAUUUGGAUGUUAUUAUGGAUUUCAUUUUACGUUAAUUUGAUCUUUGGACUUUGGAUGUCUCAUAUGCUAUUUUUUGUUGUUUUGGAUGUUAUUACGGACCUUGAACUUCGUGUUUAUUACAGAUUUCAUUUAUAUGUUAUUUUCAUGUUCGGACCUUCAACUUUCGAUGUUAUUUAGAUUUUUGAUGUUAUUUGAAGUUUUGGAUCUUAGAAUCAGUAGGCUUUGUACUCGG